RNAcentral lists this ribosomal RNA (258 nucleotides) under Escherichia coli. Its description in RNAcentral is "partial 23S ribosomal RNA". It matches the Rfam family "Bacterial large subunit ribosomal RNA", at positions 2673 to 2925 of the family's 2925-position model. The record is from RNAcentral. Lineage: Bacteria; Pseudomonadati; Pseudomonadota; Gammaproteobacteria; Enterobacterales; Enterobacteriaceae. RNAcentral also lists the same sequence under 2 other names.
UGCUCCUAGUACGAGAGGACCGGAGUGGACGCAUCACUGGUGUUCGGGUUGUCAUGCCAAUGGCACUGCCCGGUAGCUAAAUGCGGAAGAGAUAAGUGCUGAAAGCAUCUAAGCACGAAACUUGCCCCGAGAUGAGUUCUCCCUGACUCCUUGAGAGUCCUGAAGGAACGUUGAAGACGACGACGUUGAUAGGCCGGGUGUGUAAGCGCAGCGAUGCGUUGAGCUAACCGGUACUAAUGAACCGUGAGGCUUAACCUU